This 44-nucleotide ribosomal RNA is filed under the name Prolemur simus (greater bamboo lemur). The record is from RNAcentral. Lineage: Eukaryota; Metazoa; Chordata; Mammalia; Primates; Lemuridae.
GCCCGGUUAGUACUUGCAUGGGAGACCGCCCCGGAAUACCGGGU